GCCUUCGUAGCUCAGGGGAUAGAGCGUCUGCCUCCGGAGCAGAAGGUCGCAGGUUCGAAUCCUGCCGAGGGCACCA
Molecule: transfer RNA, 76 nt
Filed under: Nocardia stercoris
Lineage: Bacteria; Bacillati; Actinomycetota; Actinomycetes; Mycobacteriales; Nocardiaceae
Description: Nocardia sp. NEAU-LL90 tRNA-Arg
Rfam family: tRNA
About the family: Transfer RNA (tRNA) molecules are approximately 80 nucleotides in length. Their secondary structure includes four short double-helical elements and three loops (D, anti-codon, and T loops).
Source: RNAcentral